AGCCAUGUGGCAGCCUCAGGAGUCUUUCAGAACCUGUUCUGGUUCUGAGGAUUGCCCGACGCACAAAUAGUUCUUUGCUCAAUUAAAUGCUGUUACAUUUAAUUUGUCUAAAGCUUUUCUUUUAACAGAUGUUUAUAAGAUAGGUGUUCAUAAGCAAGAGAAUGUAACUCUAUUUGCCUUUAAAUACUUGUUAUGAAGAAGUUAUAUUUGCAAAGUUCUAAGAAAGCUGCAAUCACUUGCUGUUGCCGGAAACUGCCUUGUGGCCUGGCGUCCUGGGAAUUUGCUUGGCUUUUUGUGGCCGCCAUCCAAAACUGGGAACCACAAGUCAAAGAUGCUGGGAAAUGCCAUCAAUCCAGAAGAGAAAUGCAGCCGCGUGAUGCCUCACUCACCAGAAGGGAUUGCAGGGUGACCCUGUCUGAUUACCAGCCUCGACUUAGGAAAUACAGCCAAUGAUGAAAUUCAUGGCAGGCAAAUUCCCUGUUCAAGGUGGAGCAACAGCAUGAUGGAUGGGCCAGCAGUGAUGGAUAGCCCCUCUGAAUUUUGGUUCAUGGGUUUCCUCCAGCAAGGACUGAGUUGUCCCAGAGAUAACACUCUACCAGCGGCUGGGCUCUGGGCUGAAUGCUUGCUUAGGGAUAACACCCUCAUUACCCAGUAAAGCAAAUUAUUAUUGACAAUGUAAGGUUUUAGUUCCUUUCGGUAAUUUUUAAAUUAAGCAGACAGCCUGGCAUAUGGAUCAAGAUUCCUUGAACUCUAAAAGAUUCUCUCUUCCAAAGUAUUAGUGAAACAUAGAAUUAAAGUAAAAUGAAAGAUUUAUAUAUAGGAUUUAUAUAUAGAAGCUUCAUAAUCCUA
Molecule: unclassified non-coding RNA, 849 nt
Filed under: Homo sapiens (human)
Lineage: Eukaryota; Metazoa; Chordata; Mammalia; Primates; Hominidae
Description: novel transcript (ENSG00000280542.1)
Source: RNAcentral